Molecule: ribosomal RNA, 587 nt
Filed under: Arsenophonus endosymbiont of Apis mellifera
Lineage: Bacteria; Pseudomonadati; Pseudomonadota; Gammaproteobacteria; Enterobacterales; Morganellaceae
Description: bacterial SSU rRNA
Rfam family: Bacterial small subunit ribosomal RNA
Source: RNAcentral
GCGAGCGUUAAUCGGAAUUACUGGGCGUAAAGGGCACGCAGGCGGUUAAUUAAGUUGGAUGUGAAAUCCCCGGGCUUAACCUGGGAAUGGCAUUCAAGACUGGUUAGCUAGAGUCUUGUAGAGGGGGGUAGAAUUCCAUGUGUAGCGGUGAAAUGCGUAGAGAUGUGGAGGAAUACCGGUGGCGAAGGCGGCCCCCUGGACAGAGACUGACGCUCAUGUGCGAAAGCGUGGGGAGCAAACAGGAUUAGAUACCCUGGUAGUCCACGCUGUAAACGAUGUCGAUUUGGAGGUUGUGGUCAUGAAUUGUGGCCUCCGGAGCUAACGCGUUAAAUCGACCGCCUGGGGAGUACGGCCGCAAGGUUAAAACUCAAAUGAAUUGACGGGGGCCCGCACAAGCGGUGGAGCAUGUGGUUUAAUUCGAUGCAACGCGAAGAACCUUACCUACUCUUGACAUCCAGCGAAGCCUUUAGAGAUAAAGGCGUGCCUUCGGGAGCGCUGAGACAGGUGCUGCAUGGCUGUCGUCAGCUCGUGUUGUGAAAUGUUGGGUUAAGUCCCGCAACGAGCGCAACCCUUAUCCUUUGUUGCCA